UACAGAGGUCUCAAGCGUUGUUCGGAUUCAUUGGGCGUAAAGGGUGCGUAGGCGGCCACGACAAGUCACUUGUGAAAUCUCCGGGCUUAACUCGGAACGGUCAAGUGAUACUGUCGGGCUAGAGUGCGGAAGGGGCAACUGGAAUUCUCGGUGUAGCGGUGAAAUGCGCAGAUAUCAGGAGGAACACCGGUGGCGAAGGCGGGUCUCUGGGCCGAUACUGACGCUGAGGUGCGAAAGCGUGGGGAGCAAACAGG
RNAcentral lists this ribosomal RNA (254 nucleotides) under uncultured bacterium. RNAcentral describes it as "partial 16S ribosomal RNA". It matches the Rfam family "Bacterial small subunit ribosomal RNA", at positions 524 to 776 of the family's 1533-position model. The record is from RNAcentral.